AAAACCUAAGCGAGAUGCAUAUUGUGAGAAACGGUUGGUAAAGUUUGUUGUGGACUUGUUCCAAAUCCUCAUCAUAUAUCCACCUUUUUCCAAAAUUAAAAAAGUAUUGUAUGCAUUAUUUCUGCUUUCCUCUUAGACUUUACAUUACACAUCCAGCUUUGAUCCAACACACAUUUUUGCUUUAUAUUUUCCCUUUUUGUUUUCUUAUAUGAACUCAGCUCCGCUGUAUAGAUGAUAAACUGUAAAGUAAAGAUAUGAUGUCAGGUUGGCAUUUCAAGUUCAGGCUCAGAAUUCUGGAGCAUUAAUCAAAUUCAAUUAUGCAACUGGAAGACCUGUGUAUACCUAAACAAGAUGGAGUACUGGGAAUCUCAAAGAUUGAUCCGAUGAAUGAAACUCCCCUUCCAUAAUGACAGAUUAGGGACACUCACUGUGUCGGUAUUAAAAGCUAAAUACCACUAAGCUUGAGAUUUUCAGUGUGCAAUUAAAACACCCUUAGACUCAUGGAUUUGGAAAGAUAUUUUGAGUAGAAGUAUUUGCAAUGCAAAAAGUUGUUAUUAGCGGGUAUAUCUCAUAUUGGUUACAUACAAGUUAUUAAGAGAGUUUUUAUAUAGUUUUAUUUUUUGUUUUCUUUGAAUAAUUGGGUUAUUAUUGCUUGUCUGGUUUGUUUGUGUUCAUGUUAACAUGUGUCUUCAACAUGUAUUACUUUUCUUUUGGAUAAAAGCUUUAUUAUUUUUCCAGAAAAUAAUAUCUUUUAAAACAAAUUUGCUUUUUUCCAAUUUUAUUAUUUUAUUUUUGCGAAAAAUCUGGAACAAAUAUAUCUUGC
This 823-nucleotide long non-coding RNA is filed under the name Gossypium barbadense (sea-island cotton). RNAcentral's name for it is "long non-coding RNA (GBAR_LNC019860)". Lineage: Eukaryota; Viridiplantae; Streptophyta; Magnoliopsida; Malvales; Malvaceae. The record is from RNAcentral.